Molecule: ribosomal RNA, 347 nt
Filed under: uncultured bacterium
Lineage: Bacteria
Description: bacterial SSU rRNA
Rfam family: Bacterial small subunit ribosomal RNA
Source: RNAcentral
GGGCCCGCACAAGCGGUGGAGCAUGUGGUUUAAUUCGAUGCAACGCGAAGAACCUUACCUACUCUUGACAUCCAGAGAAUUCGCUAGAGAUAGCUUAGUGCCUUCGGGAACUCUGAGACAGGUGCUGCAUGGCUGUCGUCAGCUCGUGUUGUGAAAUGUUGGUUAAGUCCCGCAACGAGCGCAACCCCUAUCCUUACUUGCCAGCGGGUCAUGCCGGGAACUUUAGGGAGACUGCCGGUGAUAAACCGGAGGAAGGUGGGGACGACGUCAAGUCAUCAUGGCCCUUACGAGUAGGGCUACACACGUGCUACAAUGGUCAGUACAGAGGGUUGCGAAGCCGCGAGGUG